Cinara cedri is the source of this 265-nucleotide non-coding RNA. The record is from the annotation of a GenBank genome assembly. Lineage: Eukaryota; Metazoa; Arthropoda; Insecta; Hemiptera; Aphididae.
AUUUAAAUAGUAGGCAUAAAAUCGAGUGUGCCCGUACCGAUCUCUCGCUUCGGACUUGACGGCGCGGCGCGCGACUCGGUUUUCCCGGUUCGUCCGGGACAGUAAUAAAGACAAACGCACCGCGACAUAUUGUGUGUGUGCGCGCGUUUGUGUGUAUGUGUAAGUGUGUGUUUGUGUAUGUGUGAGUGUCCGAGUGUGCGAGUGUGCGAGUGUUGCGGACUCGCGUCGGUGUAUCGUAUCGUUACGAAACGCGGCUAAUUAUUGU